This is a non-coding RNA of Pelobates cultripes (western spadefoot toad), 1450 nucleotides long. Lineage: Eukaryota; Metazoa; Chordata; Amphibia; Anura; Pelobatidae. The record is from the annotation of a GenBank genome assembly.
GCAUGUAUAUAUUUUUCUGCAUGCUUUCUUUGGAGGAAUGUAAAAAAAAAAAAAAGUUGCAAAAGCUGCAGAUUUUCUGUCUGCAGCCAUUGCAAGCUCUUUCAUUUUUCCCCAGCACAAAUAUGAUAGAUUUCAACACAUAUAGAACUUCUGCAAGCUGUGUGCUUUUUUGUGUGUGGAGUGCUCUUUUAAGUAAUGCUUAUGCAUUCUGCUUGUUUUAUGUAUGGGUACGGCGGAUGCUUUGUGAGGUGGCAUUUGUGUGUGGACUGUCUGAUGUUGUGCAAGUAUAUAUAUGGACUGUGUGCAGUGUUGUGUAUGCUUUCUUGUUUGUGGUAUUCUGUGUUUGAAGGGAUUGGCUUAUGUGGUUUUCUUUGUAAAUGUGGACUGUUUGUGGUAUUUUGGGUAUGUGCGUGUGUGGCAGGAACUGUGGGGUUGUAAGUGUAGGUUGUUUGUAGUAGUGUGUGUAUGUUAUAUUAGCUGCCAGUUGUAUUAUGUGUUUUCCUUCUGGGGUUUUGUGUGUGUGUGUUGUCUGUGAUGUUUAAAUGUGUAAAAAUGGGUUGCUUUUAGUAAUUGUGUGUGUGUGUGUGUGUGUUUUGGCUGCAAUCUGUGGUAUGUGUAUAUUUAGGCUAUAUGUAAUGUUGUGUGUAGUGGCUGCAAUCUGUGGUGUGUGUGUAUAUUUGGGCUGUAUGUAGUGUUGUGUGUAGUGGAUGCAAUCUGUGGUGUGUGUGUAUAUUUGGGCUGUAUGUAGUGUUGUGUGUAGUGGAUGCAAUCUGUGGUGUGUGUGUAUAUUUGGGCUGUAUGUAGUGUUGUGUGUAGUGGCUGCAAUCUGUGGUGUGUGUGUAUAUUUGGGCUGUAUGUAGUGUUGUGUGUAGUGGCUGCAGUCGGUGGUGUGUGUAUAUUUAGGCUGUAUGUAAUGUGUGUGGGGGCUGUGUUUUGUAUUUGUGUAUGUAUGGGCUUUCUGUAGUGUUUGUAUAUUGUGUACUGGUGUUUGGAGGUACAGACCACUAAUUCCCUAUGAAUCAGCUGGCCGGUUUGGGUCAGGCAGGAUCCUAUGCCAUACACACACACACCGGUGUGGCAUGGAUCGCAGUCUACUGAUAUAGAUCAUACCCCUGUAGUCUCACUGCUCAAUUCUCUGCCAUUUAGAAGAUAAAUCACUUUGUUUAUACAGCCCUAGGUACACUUGUUGCAUGUGACUUGUACAGCCUUUCUAAACACUUCCUGUAAAGAGAGCUAAUGUUUACAAUUAGAAUUUAUCUUCUGCACGGUUAAUAGCCUUCUAGAUGAUGCAGGGACCUCCUGUGUGUGUAAUUAAAGUUCAAUUUACAGAGCAGUAGAUAAAAACAUAUAACGUAAGUUAACAUCUGAUUAAAAAUGAAACUUUUUCAUGCAGGCUGUGUCAAUCACAACCAGGAGAGGUGUGGCUAGGGCAGAAUAAACAGAAACAAAA